AUUGAGAGUUUGAUCCUGGCUCAGGAUGAACGCUAGCUACAGGCUUAACACAUGCAAGUCGAGGGGCAUCGAGAUUGAAGCUUGCUUCAAUUGUCGGCGACCGGCGCACGGGUGAGUAACACGUAUCCAACCUGCCAUUCACUCUCGGAUAGCCUUCUGAAAGGAAGAUUAAUACGAGAUGGUAUCAGGAAUCAGCAUUUUUUCUUGAUUAAAGAAUUUCGGUGGAUGAUGGGGAUGCGUUCCAUUAGGCAGUUGGCGGGGUAACGGCCCACCAAACCUACGAUGGAUAGGGGUUCUGAGAGGAAGGUCCCCCACAUUGGAACUGAGACACGGUCCAAACUCCUACGGGAGGCAGCAGUGAGGAAUAUUGGUCAAUGGACGAGAGCCUGAACCAGCCAAGUAGCGUGAAGGAUGACUGCCCUAUGGGUUGUAAACUUCUUUUAUACGGGAAUAAAGUUCACUACGUGUAGUGUUUUGUAUGUACCGUAUGAAUAAGGAUCGGCUAACUCCGUGCCAGCAGCCGCGGUAAUACGGAGGAUCCGAGCGUUAUCCGGAUUUAUUGGGUUUAAAGGGAGCGUAGAUGGGUGUUUAAGUCAGUUGUGAAAGUUUGCGGCUCAACCGUAAAAUUGCAGUUGAUACUGGACGCCUUGAGUGCAGUUGAGGUAGGCGGAAUUCGUGGUGUAGCGGUGAAAUGCUUAGAUAUCACGAAGAACUCCGAUUGCGAAGGCAGCCUACUAAGCUGUAACUGACAUUGAGGCUCGAAAGUGUGGGUAUCAAACAGGAUUAGAUACCCUGGUAGUCCACACGGUAAACGAUGAAUACUCGCUGUUGGCGAUAUACGGUCAGCGGCCAAGCGAAAGCAUUAAGUAUUCCACCUGGGGAGUACGCCGGCAACGGUGAAACUCAAAGGAAUUGACGGGGGCCCGCACAAGCGGAGGAACAUGUGGUUUAAUUCGAUGAUACGCGAGGAACCUUACCCGGGCUUAAAUUGCACUGGACAGUUUUGGAAACAGGACUUUCUUCGGACCAGUGUGAAGGUGCUGCAUGGUUGUCGUCAGCUCGUGCCGUGAGGUGUCGGCUUAAGUGCCAUAACGAGCGCAACCCUUGUGACUAGUUACUAACAGGUUAUGCUGAGGACUCUAGUCAGACUGCCAUCGUAAGAUGUGAGGAAGGUGGGGAUGACGUCAAAUCAGCACGGCCCUUACGUCCGGGGCUACACACGUGUUACAAUGGGGGGUACAGCAGGCCGCUACCUGGCGACAGGAUGCCAAUCCCGAAAACCCCUCUCAGUUCGGACUGGAGUCUGCAACCCGACUCCACGAAGCUGGAUUCGCUAGUAAUCGCGCAUCAGCCACGGCGCGGUGAAUACGUUCCCGGGCCUUGUACACACCGCCCGUCACACCACGAAAGUUGGUAACACCCGAAGCCGGUGGGGUAACCGCAAGGAGCCAGCCGUCUAAGGUGGGGCCGAUGAUUGGGGUGAAGUCGUAACAAGGUAGCCGUAAAU
Molecule: ribosomal RNA, 1507 nt
Filed under: uncultured bacterium
Lineage: Bacteria
Description: bacterial SSU rRNA
Rfam family: Bacterial small subunit ribosomal RNA
Source: RNAcentral